UGGUGAUGGUGAUGAUGGUGGUGAUGGUGAUGAUGGUGGUGAUGGUGAUGAUGGUGGUGAUGGUGAUGGUGGUGAUGGUGAUGAUGGUGGUGAUGGUGAUGAUGGUGAUGGUGAUGAUGGUGGUGAUGGUGAUGAUGAUGAUGAUGGUGGUGGUGAUGAUGAUGGUGGUGAUGAUGAUGGUGGUGAUGAUGAUGGUGAUGAUGGUGAUGAUGGUG
Non-coding RNA from Paramuricea clavata, 215 nucleotides. NCBI's taxonomy places the organism in Eukaryota, Metazoa, Cnidaria, Anthozoa, Malacalcyonacea, Plexauridae. The record is from the annotation of a GenBank genome assembly.